CCAGCAGUUUUAACUUCUUUAGGUGUUUCUCUUUGUUUUUUUAAGUGUCAGUCUAUCCCAAAACGCCAAUACAGAUGACUCCUUUCUACUUUAACUGGGGCUUGAAUGACACUGGGCAACACGCACACAACCCCUGCAGAUCUCAGCUACCAAAAUUCUCUUGUUAAAUGUUUUUUCUUGCUAUGAUGUCAGACUGAAUUGAGCUUCAGACAAGGACCACAUCUUUAAAACCUUCAGUGAUGUAAAUUCUUGUAGGAGCGUGAUUUCCUGAACUGAUACAUAAUAUCUACUUCUACUCAGCUAAAAAAAACUGGUUUGGGAAUCUCAGCCCAGAUCUGUACAGAUUUGCAAAGACACCGCUAAAAACAUCUCCUGUGUCUUCAUUGACAUUAUUCAAAACCUGGGAGUUCUUCUGAUUUUCCUAGAAGCAGCUAUGUGCAGACACAGACUCUUCCAUCUACACUAAGAACCAUUCAGAUGUGUCAGCUCUCAUGUGAACUGAGAAACCACAUACAUGUAUACUUCCCACUGCAAUGCUGCUGCUGAUCUGAAAAGGGAAGUAAGGGCUUGGAACCUUUCUCAACUUUUGUAUCUGCACAGCUUCUUCUUUUCUAUAUGUUUUGCCCCCCAUACAUACUUCUGACAUUAAAAAGUGUAGUAGGCCUUCUAUUUGUUAGUCCGAGGUUACAACCUCUAUGUGACUGGUUAAUUGAAUAUUUGAUACCAGAAAUCUAUGAAUAUCCCAGUUUAUGGAUUUUAAUUGCCUUCAGUUUUAACAAAGAAAGCUUGUUUCUACAACUGGUGCUGUCAUUUCCAUUACUCCACCUCAGGAUAACUAAUUUUAUGUUAAUUUAAAUUCCUUGGAAAAUUGAAGUCCAAAUAUGUUUAAGGAUAUUGGUAUUUCUGACUUUGAUUUGUAAACCUCAUUGAUCCUUUAUCCAUAUGUUUAUAGAUAUUUUCACUUUUUAAAUUCUGGCCUUUCUGUUUACUUAUCCAAGCAGACUGUCUGCCUUCUGAUUUUCUUUUUCUUUAUGAGGACUCCAGAUAAUAUAUUUCUAUUUAAAUUCAGUACCUCUACCUUGACAUUCAAAUCUUUCUGUUAUUCUGUUGAUUUUUUUUAUCAUCCUCCUAAUUUUUCUGUCUGCCAUACUAAAAAACCCAGUUCCUUAGGUUUUUAUCUGUUUUUUUCUUUGUGUCAAUUUGAAACAAAAUGAAUUAUCUUGAGAUCAAAAGAUGAGUGUUUCUUUUCACAGCAUUUUGAGUGUUUACCAGAGUAGCACAGGUGAAUUGACUUAGGAAUUUACUACUCAUUUAUAUCAAAGCAUGACUGAGAAUUACCUUUGUGAUUUGAUAGAGUUUGGAAGAGAAAUGCUAAGAAAUCAGUAGAAAUAAAAGUAACACUUCUUUACAUAUCUCACAUAAACUUACAAAGCCAAAUUAACCAUUUUUCAGCCUUGAUGCAGAAAUACUAGCAUAUACCUGAGAAAUCUUCCCCCAAAAAUGUUUUAUUAAAUUUAUUAUAUUAUCUUUAUUUAAUCAGUCAUUUUUGUGAGUACGCAGUACUGUACCACCAUUUUUAAUUUUAAUUCCAUCCUUUCUAAGCAGCUUUCUUUCUAAUUCUUUCAUCCAGCUCUAUCCCAGUUACAAAUGGUCUUGUUUUGCAUUCCUAUUAUGUCUGUAAUGAAUGGUUUCUUUCAUAUAUCUUUCAUACAUAUCUUCGACAGAAGUUGUUUUACAAUGCUGAACUCAAUGUGUUGGCAAACAGCUGUUUGUUUCCCUUUGGCCUCAUCAUUGUUUUCAACAGGAGGUAAUUUGCUGGCUGAAAUUUCUUACAGAGUUAUGCUUGUAAUAACUGAAGGUUUAUCCUUUUCCUUAAUGUUUCAUUUUCAAUUGCCACAUUCUUUUUCAAGGGAUUUAUCUUCUGCCAUGAAGCUUUGAAAUUUAGCAGUCUUUCAAAUUCUUCCCCUGUCCCCAGCUGCAACCUCACAAAGCAAUGGUUUCUUUUGAAUUCAUUUGGCAUUCAGACUGUAUUUGGUAUCUCUCCCCCAGUGCAUUCCCAAAGUUUCACCUGAGAAACAGCAUAGUCUUCAGCUGCAACUUUGGUUCUCCAUUAAUAUCUUUCGUGAGUUUUUCAAGUAGUAGGUCCUGCAGCUUACACUAUUCACUUCAAGUCAAUAUAUUUAUAAUUUUAUGAUGCUUGAUUUACUUUUUGUCUUCUUUCUUACUACCAUUGUCACAGUGUUCCUCACCCAGGACAAGGGGUAAUGGUUUUAAACUGAAGAGGGUAGAUAAACUUGAGUUGACUAAAUAUGAGUGAAUUUUUUUUUUGCAGUGAG
Molecule: non-coding RNA, 2336 nt
Organism: Cyanistes caeruleus (blue tit)
Lineage: Eukaryota; Metazoa; Chordata; Aves; Passeriformes; Paridae
Source: RefSeq, a predicted model, not a curated record